UUAAUAGAAACCAAAAAGAGGUAUACCACUGUUAAUGGUAAAAUUGAAUUUAUUUCCUAUUAAG
RNAcentral lists this transfer RNA (64 nucleotides) under Cambaroides dauricus. RNAcentral's name for it is "tRNA-Asn". The record is from RNAcentral. Lineage: Eukaryota; Metazoa; Arthropoda; Malacostraca; Decapoda; Cambaridae.